Mobula hypostoma (lesser devil ray) is the source of this 354-nucleotide long non-coding RNA. RefSeq lists it as uncharacterized. The record is from RefSeq and is a predicted model, not a curated record. The transcript has 3 exons. Lineage: Eukaryota; Metazoa; Chordata; Chondrichthyes; Myliobatiformes; Myliobatidae.
ACGGCACCCGCGGGACGGUAGAUCAGAGCGGGGGUUGGAUUCUGCGGAACCGGGGAGAGACCGGAGCACCGGGCUACGUGUCGAUUAUGUUGCUGCAACCGAUGUUUUCAGCGUACUUGUGCACUUGAGAGUGAACUCGACCUGGCACUCCCUAUUUUCAUUUCUCCGAUGCCACCUCUCAAUUCACCAGCACCCUUCGAGCCGUGCCACCCAGUAAUCUGCCAAUUUAAUCACGGGACUAUUUACAAUGACCAGCACGACUUUGGACUGUGGGAAGAAACCCGAGCCCCUGGAGGAAACCCACGCCGUCACGGAGAGAAUGUAUGGGCAGCGGUGGGACUUGAUCCCUGCUGG